Molecule: long non-coding RNA, 3300 nt
Organism: Cyprinus carpio carpio
Lineage: Eukaryota; Metazoa; Chordata; Actinopteri; Cypriniformes; Cyprinidae
Source: Ensembl
GUUAUGAUGUCAUCACACAGAUGAAACUUAGAAACAUAUGUAUUAAACAAAUACAAUUUUGCAUUUGAGAUAAUUGAGAUUCCGUAGCAGUAGUGCUAGGAAUGUUGGGAAAUGUUUUAGGUGCCAGAUCGGCAGAAGUUAAAAAAGCAGUAAAGUUGUGACUAGAAGUCAAACGUGCCAUCUCACGUGUAUUCUUUUAAUGGAUACAUUACAGAAAAAUUGUCGACGAGGAUAAAAGUUUUGUUUAAAUUAUGGCGGUUAUAGGAAAUAUAAGAGAGUUUGUUCCUAAAGCAGUCGUGGUCGGCUUAUAUUGAAUGGCUGGAGCAGUUCUUCGGGGCGAACGACAUAAGCCAGGAGAAGCAGGUUGUGACCCUGUUGAGUGUGAUGGGAUCAACUACCUACGGUUUACUGAGGAACUUGGUACAACCAGAGAAGCAGAAAGAAAAGUCUUACAAAGACAUUGUAGACACUUUAAAGAAUCAUUUUGAGCCAAAGCCUUUGCUGAUUGUGGCAAGAUUCAGUUUUAAUCAUUGCAAUCAAAAAGCUGGUGAGAUGGUGACAGAAUAUGCUGCCGAGUUAAAACAGUGAGAUGUGAGUUGUGAAUUUGGGGCAACGCUGGACGAAGCAUUGCGCGACUGGUUCAUGAGUGGAAUCCGCAAUGAAGCCUGCCAACGACGACUGUUGUCAGAAUCUAAUCUGACGUUUGCACAUGCAUUUGAGAUCACAUUGAGUAUGGAGACAGCGGAGAAAGACAUGCAGCAUGCAGUAGGGGUUCAUAAAGUGGAUGCGCGGGCAGCACGACAUUCUGAUCAGAGAGGAAAGAAGUGCUAUAGAUGUCACGGCAAAAUCACAGCCCUCAUGUUUGUCAUUUCAAGGAUGCAAAAUGCCAUAACUGUGGGAAAACUGGCCACAUCAAAAGAGCUUGCAGAGGAAAAAUGGAAGCUGGGAAAGGUAAACGUUAUGCUGAGAAAAGUGGAGGCAGAGAGAGCUGAGUUGCCCAUGUUUUCUCUGUUAAGUGAUGAGAACAGCAAAAAGUCAUUCACAGAGACAUUUAAAGUAAAUGGCAAAGAAAUUAUGAUGGAAAUUGACAAGGGUGCUGCCCUGAGUAUCAUAUCUGAGAAACUAUUCCAAGCUGCGUUCUCAAAAGAGCCACUAGAGGUAGCAGGAGUCAAGCUUAAAACGUAUACUGGAGAGAUUAUGCCUGUGUUGGGACAGUUUCAAGCUAAUGUGAGCUACGAAAAACAAAGUGAACUGCUACCCUUGAUAGUAGUAAAAGGGGAGGGGCCAGCUCUGUGUGCCAUAAAUUGGCUACAAAAGCUCAGCUUGAAUUGGAAAAAAAUUAAACAUGUCAGUCAAGUGGAUCAAACAAAGUCUCUUGAAGAGGUGCUGGAUUCAUGCUUGGAGAAGUUCAAAGAUGAACUAGGCACACCCCUUGGGGUUAAGGCAAAAUCACUGGUGAAUCCUGAAAUUCCUCCACGCUUUUAUAAAUUUUGCCCACUGCCUUUUUCCAUUAAAGGCAAAGUUGGUGCGGAACUUGACCGGCUGGAGAAGGCUGGAAUUAUCAGACCUGUAAAACACAGUGAGUGGGCAGCACCCAUUGCGCCAAUGGUAAAAAAGGAACAAAACCAUAAGACUGUGUGGGGACUAUAAAUUAAUCGUGAAUCAAGCAGCUACUACAGAGACUUACCCACUACCGCGGAUUGAGGAGUUGAUGGCUAAACUGAGUGGAGGAACUGUGUUUUCUAAGAUUGACCUGGCUUCAGCAUACCAGCAGGUUCUUUUUGAUAAAUGACAAAUUAAAAUUUUCUGGUACACUAAUAGCUGAACACUUCAAACAAGCUCCCUAGAAUGCAGAUUGUGUGGCACCACGUAUCACAUGCAGAGACAAGGUGUUAUCCAAAGUCCUGAAAUAUGUCAUUGAGGGUUGGCCAACAGAUGUGGAUUAAAGCCCGAAAGCUUACCAGUCACACAGAUAUGAAUUGUCUGCAGAGAGAGGAUGUGUGCUCUGGGGCACCAGGGUGACAAUUCCUGAUAGACUGAGAAAAAGUGUGCUGAAUGAAUAGCAUGUACUAUCUGCAGUUCCUACACUGUACUGUACUGUCAUGUACUAUGUACUAUCAAGGGAUAGUAAAGAUGGAACCUCAUGCCCACAGGUACAGUAUGUGUGGUGCCCUAAAGUGGAUGCAGAUCUGGAGCAGGUUAGCAGAGCCUGUAAGAUGGAACAAAAAAACACCACGUCAGGUUCCUUUACACCCAUGGGAUUUUCCUGGUCAGAACUGGAAAAGACUGCACAUAGAUUUUGCUGGUCCUUUUCUAGGACACACAUUUAUGAUACUUGUGGAUGCAUAUUCGAAGUGAUUGGAGGUGUUUAGAAUGCCUAACCUCACCUCACAAGCUACAAUCACAAGACUGAGGAGGUUGUUUGCAGCAUACAGACUUCCAGAGCACAUUGUCAGAGACAAUGGAAUGGAAGUUACAUCUGAGGAGUUUAAAACCUUCAUGCAGCAAAAUGGAAUCCUGCAUUCAACGAGUGCUCUUGGUCAUCCUGCUACCAAUGGCCUUGCAGAAAGCUUGGGAGUGGCCCUGUCCAGAGGUCAUGGCAAAUAUUUCUUCAGAGGAAAUAUCUCUAUUGAAGAAGGUCACCAUAGCCACCAGAUCCAGUCUGUAUCCAGAUCAGAUGGUCACUGCAGUCACCCGGAUCCAGUACGUAUCCAGCCCAGAUGGUGGAUCAGCACCUAGAAAGGACCUCUACAGCCCUGAAAGACAGCAGAGACCAGGACAACUAGAGCCCCAGAGACAGAUCCCCUGUAAAGACCUUGUCUCAGACGACCACCUGGACAAGACCACAGGAAACAGAUGAUUCUUCUGCACAAUCUGACUUUGCUGCAGCCUGGAAUUGAACUGCUGGUUUCAUCUGGUCAGAGAAGAACUGGCCCCCCGACUGAGCCUGGUUUCUCUCAAGGUUUUUUCUCCAUUCUGUCACCGAUGGAGUUUUGGUUUCUUGCCGCUGUCGCCUCUGGCUUGCUUAGUUGGGGACACUUCAUUUACAGCGAUAUCGUUGACUUGACUGUGAAUUAUUGCACAGAUAUGAUUUAAACUGAACUGAGCAGCAUGAUGACAUCACUGAAUUCAAUGAUGAACUGCCUUUAACUGUCAUUUUGCAUUAUUGCCACACUGUUUUCCUAAUUAAUGUUGUUCAGUUGCUUUGACGCAAUCUUUUUUGUUUAAAGCGCUAUAUAAAUAAAGGUGACUUGUAAUGGCUGUUAUUUCAAAUAAAUGUCAUUGUUUAUAAUAAAAUAA